AGAGUUUGAUCCUGGCUCAGGAUGAACGCUGGCGGCGUGCUUAACACAUGCAAGUCGAACGAGCCUUCGGGCUAGUGGCGGACGGGUGAGUAACGCGUGGGAAUCUGCCCUCAGGAGGGGGAUAACGGCCGGAAACGGCCGCUAAUACCCCAUAUGCCGAGAGGUGAAACGAAUUUCGCCUGGGGAUGAGCCCGCGUCUGAUUAGCUAGUUGGUGAGGUAAUGGCUCACCAAGGCUUCGAUCAGUAGCUGGUCUGAGAGGAUGAUCAGCCACACUGGGACUGAGACACGGCCCAGACUCCUACGGGAGGCAGCAGUGGGGAAUUUUCCGCAAUGGGCGCAAGCCUGACGGAGCAACGCCGCGUGAGGGACGAAGGCCUCUGGGCUGUAAACCUCUUUUCUCAAGGAAGAAGACAUGACGGUACUUGAGGAAUAAGCCACGGCUAAUUCCGUGCCAGCAGCCGCGGUAAUACGGGAGUGGCAAGCGUUAUCCGGAAUUAUUGGGCGUAAAGCGUCCGCAGGCGGCCUUGAAAGUCUGUUGUUAAAGCGUGGAGCUCAACUCCAUUUAAGCAAUGGAAACUACAAGGCUAGAGUGUGGUAGGGGCAGAGGGAAUUCCCGGUGUAGCGGUGAAAUGCGUAGAUAUCGGGAAGAACACCAGUGGCGAAGGCGCUCUGCUGGGCCAUAACUGACGCUCAUGGACGAAAGCCAGGGGAGCGAAAGGGAUUAGAUACCCCUGUAGUCCUGGCCGUAAACGAUGAACACUAGGUGUCGGGAGAAUUAACCCUUCCGGUGUCGUAGCCAACGCGUUAAGUGUUCCGCCUGGGGAGUACGCACGCAAGUGUGAAACUCAAAGGAAUUGACGGGGGCCCGCACAAGCGGUGGAGUAUGUGGUUUAAUUCGAUGCAACGCGAAGAACCUUACCAGGGUUUGACAUCCUGCGAAUCCCUUGGAAACGAGGGAGUGCCUUCGGGAACGCAGUGACAGGUGGUGCAUGGCUGUCGUCAGCUCGUGUCGUGAGAUGUUGGGUUAAGUCCCGCAACGAGCGCAACCCACGUCUUUAGUUGCCAGCAUUCAGUUGGGCACUCUAGAGAGACCGCCGGUGAUAAACCGGAGGAAGGUGUGGAUGACGUCAAGUCAUCAUGCCCCUUACAUCCUGGGCUACACACGUACUACAAUGCUACGGACAAAGGGCAGCAAACUCGCGAGAGCUAGCAAAUCCCAUAAACCGUGGCUCAGUUCAGAUCGUAGGCUGCAACUCGCCUACGUGAAGGAGGAAUCGCUAGUAAUCGCAGGUCAGCAUACUGCGGUGAAUACGUUCCCGGGCCUUGUACACACCGCCCGUCACACCAUGGAAGUUGGCCCUGCCCGAAGUCGUUACUCCAACCCGCAAGGGAGGAGGACGCCGAAGGUGGGGCUGAUGACUGGGGUGAAGUCGGAACAAGGUA
This 1444-nucleotide ribosomal RNA is filed under the name metagenome. Its description in RNAcentral is "bacterial SSU rRNA". It matches the Rfam family "Bacterial small subunit ribosomal RNA". The record is from RNAcentral.